This 99-nucleotide non-coding RNA is filed under the name Platyophrya macrostoma. Lineage: Eukaryota; Ciliophora; Colpodea; Cyrtolophosidida; Platyophryidae. The record is from RNAcentral.
AAAGAAAAAACUUUUUAAAAAAAAAAAAAAAAAAAUUCUUCUCACAUCCUCGUCUACUUUUUCACUUUUUUUUUUAAAUUCCUUUUUUUAUUUUGUUCU